GAUGAACGCUGGCGGCGUGCUUAACACAUGCAAGUCGAACGGAAAGGCUCCUGCUUGCUGGGGUACUCGAGUGGCGAACGGGUGAGUAACACGUGGGUGAUCUGCCCUGCACUUCGGGAUAAGCCUGGGAAACUGGGUCUAAUACCGGAUAGGACCACAUUUUGGAUGGUGUGGUGGAAAGUUUUUCGGUGUGGGAUGAGCUCGCGGCCUAUCAGCUUGUUGGUGGGGUAAUGGUCUACCAAGGCGUCGACGGGUAGCCGGCCUGAGAGGGUGUACGGCCACAGUGGGACUGAGAUACGGCCCAGACUCCUACGGGAGGCAGCAGUGGGGAAUAUUGCACAAUGGGCGCAAGCCUGAUGAAGCGACGCCGCGUGGGGGAUGACGGCCUUCGGGUUGUAAACUCCUUUCGCUAGGGACGAAGCGCAAGUGACGGUACCUGGAGAAGAAGCACCGGCUAACUACGUG
RNAcentral lists this ribosomal RNA (465 nucleotides) under uncultured bacterium. RNAcentral's name for it is "partial 16S ribosomal RNA". It matches the Rfam family "Bacterial small subunit ribosomal RNA", at positions 28 to 507 of the family's 1533-position model. The record is from RNAcentral.